Molecule: ribosomal RNA, 253 nt
Filed under: uncultured bacterium
Lineage: Bacteria
Description: partial 16S ribosomal RNA
Rfam family: Bacterial small subunit ribosomal RNA
Source: RNAcentral
UACGUAGGGUCCGAGCGUUGUCCGGAAUUAUUGGGCGUAAAGGGCUCGUAGGCGGUUUGUCGCGUCGGGAGUGAAAACUCAGGGAUUAACCCUGAGCCUGCUUCCGAUACGGGCAGACUAGAGGUAUGCAGGGGAGAACGGAAUUCCUGGUGUAGCGGUGAAAUGCGCAGAUAUCAGGAGGAACACCGGUGGCGAAGGCGGUUCUCUGGGCAUUACCUGACGCUGAGGAGCGAAAGUGUGGGGAGCGAACAGG